Molecule: long non-coding RNA, 1672 nt
Organism: Cavia porcellus (domestic guinea pig)
Lineage: Eukaryota; Metazoa; Chordata; Mammalia; Rodentia; Caviidae
Exons: 3
Source: RefSeq, a predicted model, not a curated record
GCCAGGAUGGGAACUCCUCUGGUGCAAAACACAAUAGGAAGCACAAGAUCCAGUUCCCAGGCUGGAGAGGGCGGGGCCCUUCAGACCCACCCUGAGUGGGCGGUGACCACAGGCGGCUCCCUGCCUCUGUGACGUCAGGGAAGUCCCGCCCACAGCUGUCAGCCACUGUCCAUACCAAGUUGUGUGCUGGCCAGGAAGUUGCUCCUUUCUGGGGUCAUGAUGGGCAGCAAGAUGGCGUCUGCCACCGGGUUGCCCAGAAUUAAAACAUGCUUCAGAAAGUAAGCUUAUAAUACUACAAACCGAGAAUAAAAAACCUGAGAAAGGAGCUGGACAGUAUGGAAAAUUCAGACAAGAUAAACACCAUGCAACAAAGCCUACAGAAAGAGAUGAAGCUUGCUACAGUUACUCAACAUGUGUUCUAGAGCAUCAUUUUGGGGUGUAAAGUCAACUGGGCAGCAGAUCCAGCACUCAGGGAAACUGUUCUGCAGCUUGAAAAGGCUCUCACCACAGUCUAACAAGAAUUCCACUGGGCCAGGUGUCGCCAUGUGUGCCUUUGAUCUCAGCACUCAGGAGGCUGAAACAAGAGGAUUGCCACAUGCUGAAGACCAGCAAAGAUUUGCACCUUGAAGUUUUUGGAUUUUUGUCUCUGAUAUGUCAUUUAAAUAGCAAGUUUCAAGUGAAAUGAAUUUGCGAUGUUUGGGGAACUCUCCUAAUCUGUAAUUGCUUUUUAGCUUCAGUUAACACUCUAACAUAGAAUCAGUGAUUUUAAAUAACACUAAAGUGACUGUGUACUCUUAAAAAGGGAAUGUCUUAGUCAUAGAAAAGACACCUGGUCUGAUAUCUGAGGAGCAGGCGCAGUUUUGGACAUUCACAAGGUCCCAGCAUUUGAUUGUAAUACUUGUGUGCAUUUCUGCAUUUGUCAGUCAGGAUGCAGAGAGGUCUCCAGAGUGUCAGCAGCUGGUAUAAUUCGUAGUGGGGUUAUGCGUAACUGUCUUCUGUUCUCUCUGUGUCUGUUUCUCCCCUCACACAUACUUCUGCUCACACACAUACAAGAUGCUGGCUACACUCUGGCAAUGCUGAUGUACAGUGACAUCUUUGCCCAUUUUCAGUUCUGUUUAGACACAAACUCUUGCCAACUUACCAAGGCUGGCUUCAGACUCGGAACCCUCCUGAACAACUGAGAUUACAAGCAUGUACUGCCAUGUCCAGUACAGCUCUUUAUUAAUUAGGAGCUAUUGAUCAUAUUUGUGGACAGUGUGAUGUUUUCAGUAUUCUUACUGGAAUAAAGUGAAACUUGAAAAGAUGCGCUCAUUGGAUAAUAGCUCAUGAAAUCUGUUCUUUAGAUUAAUAACAAAGAGAGAUUUCCCUAAGCUCAAAUAGUAGGCUUUUCUUUGAAAUAUUUAUACCUUGCUUUCUUUCAUCAAUCAUACUGUAUGCAUAGAUUUAUUCUUUUUGUCAGUUAUUGUUUUGAGGUAGAGUCUCACUGUGUCCUUCAGGGCAUUCUUGAACUCACUAUGUAGCCCAGGCUGUCCUAGAACUUCCUGCAGUCCUCCUGCCUCAGCCUCCUGAGUAGUAGGUUACAGGGAUGCACCACCACACCUGAUCUGUUGUUGUCUAUAUCAAUUUUUAUGAAGUAACUUACGUUUUGCGUGCAAAUUAUUAUUUUGGAAAA